This 445-nucleotide ribosomal RNA is filed under the name uncultured bacterium. RNAcentral describes it as "bacterial SSU rRNA". It matches the Rfam family "Bacterial small subunit ribosomal RNA", at positions 354 to 796 of the family's 1533-position model. The record is from RNAcentral.
GUGAGGAAUAUUGGUCAAUGGGCGAGAGCCUGAACCAGCCAAGUAGCGUGCAGGACGACGGCCCUAUGGGUUGUAAACUGCUUUUGCGCGGGGAUAAAGUGCGCCACGUGUGGCUCAUUGCAGGUACCGCGCGAAUAAGGACCGGCUAAUUCCGUGCCAGCAGCCGCGGUAAUACGGAAGGUCCGGGCGUUAUCCGGAUUCAUUGGGUUUAAAGGGAGCGCAGGCCGCCCCUUAAGCGUGUUGUGAAAUGCCGCGGCUCAACCGUGGCACUGCAGCGCGAACUGGGGGGCUUGAGUGCGCGCAGCGCAGGCGGAACUCGUGGUGUAGCGGUGAAAUGCUUAGAUAUCACGAAGAACUCCGAUCGCGAAGGCAGCCUGCGGGAGCGCAACUGACGCUGAGGCUCGAAAGUGCGGGUAUCGAACAGGAUUAGAAACCCUAGUAGUCC